This 119-nucleotide ribosomal RNA is filed under the name Nothobranchius furzeri (turquoise killifish). Lineage: Eukaryota; Metazoa; Chordata; Actinopteri; Cyprinodontiformes; Nothobranchiidae. The record is from RNAcentral.
GCUUACGGCCAUACCACCCUGAACAAACCCGAUCUCGUCUGAUCUCUGAAGCAAUCCAGGGUUGGGCCUGGUCAGUACCUGUCUGGGAGACCGCCUGGGAAUACCAGGUACUGUAAGCU